UUCUAAUAUGGCAGAUUAGUGCAAUGGAUUUAAACCCCAUAUAUAAAGUUUACUCUUUUUUUAGAA
This 66-nucleotide transfer RNA is filed under the name Zyras sp. 2 HE-2012. RNAcentral's name for it is "tRNA-Leu". It matches the Rfam family "tRNA". From Rfam's summary of the family: Transfer RNA (tRNA) molecules are approximately 80 nucleotides in length. Their secondary structure includes four short double-helical elements and three loops (D, anti-codon, and T loops). Further hydrogen bonds mediate the characteristic L-shaped molecular structure. tRNAs have two regions of fundamental functional importance: the anti-codon, which is responsible for specific mRNA codon recognition, and the 3' end, to which the tRNAs corresponding amino acid is attached (by aminoacyl-tRNA synthetases). tRNAs cope with the degeneracy of the genetic code in two manners: having more than one tRNA (with a specific anti-codon) for a particular amino acid; and 'wobble' base-pairing, i.e. permitting non-standard base-pairing at the 3rd anti-codon position. The record is from RNAcentral. Lineage: Eukaryota; Metazoa; Arthropoda; Insecta; Coleoptera; Staphylinidae.